Non-coding RNA from Podarcis muralis (Common wall lizard), 266 nucleotides. The record is from RefSeq and is a predicted model, not a curated record. NCBI's taxonomy places the organism in Eukaryota, Metazoa, Chordata, Lepidosauria, Squamata, Lacertidae.
CUCUCUCUCUCUCUCUCCGGGGUCCGCCUUGCGCCGAGCGGGGGUCCAGCAGCUCUCCCUGCCGUCCGCUCCCAGCCCCAGGGACCUCCUCGCCUGGACCGUCCACGGAAGGGACUCAUCCAAACCGCUAGGCGAGUCUAGCUCAGGCUGCCCCGGCGCCAACGCUUCCCUGCUUACUCCUGAAGACCUGGCCAGGUGAUCCUCCAAUAGCCUCAAGAGAUCAGGAAGAAGAAGAAGAAGAAGAAGAAGAAGAGGAGAGGAGAGGA